RNAcentral lists this small RNA (127 nucleotides) under Marmota monax (woodchuck). The record is from RNAcentral. Lineage: Eukaryota; Metazoa; Chordata; Mammalia; Rodentia; Sciuridae.
GCCAGAUGUGGUGAUGCACACCUGUAAUCCCAGCAACUCAGGAGGCUGAGGCAGGAGGAUCAUGAGUUCAAAGCCAGCCUCAGUAACUUAGUGAGGUGCUAAGCAACUCAGUGAGACCCUGUCUCUA